GUAACGAGCGCAACCCUUGUCCUUAGUUACCAGCACGUUAUGGUGGGGCACUCUAAGGAGACUGCCGGUGACAAACCGGAGGAAGGUGGGGAUGACGUCAAGUCAUCAUGGCCCUUACGGCCUGGGCUACACACGUGCUACAAUGGUCGGUACAAAGGGUUGCCAAGCCGCGAGGUGGAGCUAAUCCCAUAAAACCGAUCGUAGUCCGGAUCGCAGUCUGCAACUCGACUGCGUGAAGUCGGAAUCGCUAGUAAUCGUGAAUCAGAAUGUCACGGUGAAUACGUUCCCGGGCCUU
This 295-nucleotide ribosomal RNA is filed under the name uncultured Pseudomonas sp. RNAcentral describes it as "partial 16S ribosomal RNA". It matches the Rfam family "Bacterial small subunit ribosomal RNA", at positions 1089 to 1382 of the family's 1533-position model. Lineage: Bacteria; Pseudomonadati; Pseudomonadota; Gammaproteobacteria; Pseudomonadales; Pseudomonadaceae. The record is from RNAcentral.